This 252-nucleotide non-coding RNA is filed under the name uncultured Eubacteriales bacterium. RNAcentral's name for it is "uncultured Clostridiales bacterium T-box". It matches the Rfam family "T-box leader". Rfam says of the family: Uncharged tRNA acts as the effector for transcription antitermination of genes in the T-box leader family. T-boxes are found upstream of many aminoacyl-tRNA synthetase genes and some amino acid biosynthetic genes usually in Gram-positive bacteria. The record is from RNAcentral. Lineage: Bacteria; Bacillati; Bacillota; Clostridia; Eubacteriales.
AAAAAGGCAAAGAAAAGAAGAGUAAGCGGAGAGAUACGUCACAGAGAACCCGGACUGGUGGAAACGGGUACGGAAGACUUCGCUGAACAUGGUCUUGGAGCCGCGCACCGACCGCUUUUUAGCGUUAGGCUGCGACGGGCGCGCCCGUAACAGCGCAGGGGUAUCGGACUCGUCCCGUACCCGUCAAGGCUCUGCCCGCGAGGGCGGGGUGAAGCAAGGUGGUACCACGAAGCGUAAGCUCUCGUCCUUGAA